This 1051-nucleotide ribosomal RNA is filed under the name uncultured Planctomycetota bacterium. RNAcentral describes it as "bacterial SSU rRNA". It matches the Rfam family "Bacterial small subunit ribosomal RNA", at positions 365 to 1397 of the family's 1533-position model. The record is from RNAcentral. Lineage: Bacteria; Pseudomonadati; Planctomycetota.
UUCGCAAUGCCCGAAAGGGUGACGAAGCGACGCCGCGUGAGUGAGGAAGGCCUUCGGGUUGUAAAGCUCUGUCAGGAGUUAAGAAAUAUAAGUGUGCUAAUACCACAUUUAUUUGACAAAAGCUCCAAAGGAAGCCACGGCUAACUCUGUGCCAGCAGCCGCGGUAAUACAGAGGUGGCAAGCGUUGUUCGGAAUUAUUGGGCGUAAAGAGCACGUAGGUGGGUUUGUAAGUCAGAUGUGAAAGCCUUCUGUUCAACGGAAGAAUUGCAUCUGAAACUGCGAGUCUUGAGUGUAGGAGGGGAGAAUGGAACUUCUGGUGGAGCGGUGAAAUGCGUAGAUAUCAGAAGGAACGCCGGCGGCGAAAGCGAUUCUCUGGCCUAUUACUGACACCCAGUGUGCGAAAGCUAGGGGAGCAAACGGGAUUAGAUACCCCGGUAGUCCUAGCCGUAAACGAUGGGCACUAAGUAGAGGGGAUUACCGAUGUUCUCUCUGCCGUAGCUAACGCAUUAAGUGCCCCGCCUGGGGAGUACGGCCGCAAGGCUAAAACUCAAAAGAAUUGACGGGGGCUCGCACAAGCGGUGGAGCAUGUGGUUUAAUUCGAUGCAACGCGGAGAACCUUACCGGGGCUUGACAUGGUAGAAGUAGGAACCUGAAAGGGUAACGAACGGUAUCCAGUCCGUAGCUAUCACAGGUGUUGCAUGGCUGUCGUCAGCUCGUGUCGUGAGACGUUGGGUUAAGUCCCCUAACGAGCGAAACCCUUGUUUUUAGUUACCAGCGGGUCAUGCCGGGUACUCUAGAAAGACUGCCGUCGUCAAGGCGGAGGAAGGUGGGGAUGACGUCAAGUCAUCAUGGCCCUUAUGCCCCGGGCUACACACGUGCUACAAUGGUCGGUACAAACGGAAGCGAAGCCGAGAGGUGAAGCGAAUCCUAAAAAGCCGAUCUCAGUUCGGAUUGGAGGCUGAAAUUCGCCUCCAUGAAGUUGGAAUCGCUAGUAAUCGCGGAUCAGCUCGCCGCGGUGAAUAUGUUCCCGAGCCUUGUACACACCGCCCGU